GGUAAAAUGGCUGAGGAAAGCAUUAGACUGUAAAUCUAAAGACAGAGGUUAUAGCCUCUUUUUGCCA
This 67-nucleotide transfer RNA is filed under the name Nothocricetulus migratorius (Armenian hamster). RNAcentral describes it as "tRNA-Tyr". It matches the Rfam family "tRNA". From Rfam's summary of the family: Transfer RNA (tRNA) molecules are approximately 80 nucleotides in length. Their secondary structure includes four short double-helical elements and three loops (D, anti-codon, and T loops). Further hydrogen bonds mediate the characteristic L-shaped molecular structure. tRNAs have two regions of fundamental functional importance: the anti-codon, which is responsible for specific mRNA codon recognition, and the 3' end, to which the tRNAs corresponding amino acid is attached (by aminoacyl-tRNA synthetases). tRNAs cope with the degeneracy of the genetic code in two manners: having more than one tRNA (with a specific anti-codon) for a particular amino acid; and 'wobble' base-pairing, i.e. permitting non-standard base-pairing at the 3rd anti-codon position. The record is from RNAcentral. Lineage: Eukaryota; Metazoa; Chordata; Mammalia; Rodentia; Cricetidae.